GGGGGAAUUUUCGNAAGGGGCAAACCCCUGGGGGGACAAAACCGUUGGAGGGACGAGGGCCGGUGGGUUGUAAACCUUUUUUGUUAGGGGAGGUAAUGACGGUACCUGACGAAUAAGCAUCGGCUAACUCCGUGCCAGCAGCCGCGGUAAGACGGAGGAUGCAAGCGUUAUCCCGAAUUAUUGGGCGUAAAGCGUACGUAGGCUGUUUGAUAAGUCUGUUGUCAAAGCCCGAGGCUCAACCUUGGAUCGGCAAUGGAAACUGUGAGACUAGAGAGNGAUAGCAGGAGGAAUCCAGGUGUAGCGGUAAAGCCUGUUUAAGAAAACCCCGGGGAACAAGGGAUUAGGACCCCAGU
RNAcentral lists this ribosomal RNA (353 nucleotides) under uncultured cyanobacterium. RNAcentral's name for it is "bacterial SSU rRNA". It matches the Rfam family "Bacterial small subunit ribosomal RNA", at positions 355 to 732 of the family's 1533-position model. Lineage: Bacteria; Bacillati; Cyanobacteriota. The record is from RNAcentral.